Molecule: ribosomal RNA, 2745 nt
Filed under: Escherichia coli
Lineage: Bacteria; Pseudomonadati; Pseudomonadota; Gammaproteobacteria; Enterobacterales; Enterobacteriaceae
Description: partial 23S ribosomal RNA
Rfam family: Bacterial large subunit ribosomal RNA
Source: RNAcentral
GGUUAAGCGACUAAGCGUACACGGUGGAUGCCCUGGCAGUCAGAGGCGAUGAAGGACGUGCUAAUCUGCGAUAAGCGUCGGUAAGGUGAUAUGAACCGUUAUAACCGGCGAUUUCCGAAUGGGGAAACCCAGUGUGAUUCGUCACACUAUCAUUAACUGAAUCCAUAGGUUAAUGAGGCGAACCGGGGGAACUGAAACAUCUAAGUACCCCGAGGAAAAGAAAUCAACCGAGAUUCCCCCAGUAGCGGCGAGCGAACGGGGAGGAGCCCAGAGCCUGAAUCAGUGUGUGUGUUAGUGGAAGCGUCUGGAAAGGCGCGCGAUACAGGGUGACAGCCCCGUACACAAAAAUGCACAUGCUGUGAGCUCGAUGAGUAGGGCGGGACACGUGGUAUCCUGUCUGAAUAUGGGGGGACCAUCCUCCAAGGCUAAAUACUCCUGACUGACCGAUAGUGAACCAGUACCGUGAGGGAAAGGCGAAAAGAACCCCGGCGAGGGGAGUGAAAAAGAACCUGAAACCGUGUACGUACAAGCAGUGGGAGCACGCUUCGGCGUGUGACUGCGUACCUUUUGUAUAAUGGGUCAGCGACUUAUAUUCUGUAGCAAGGUUAACCGAAUAGGGGAGCCGAAGGGAAACCGAGUCUUAACUGGGCGUUAAGUUGCAGGGUAUAGACCCGAAACCCGGUGAUCUAGCCAUGGGCAGGUUGAAGGUUGGGUAACACUAACUGGAGGACCGAACCGACUAAUGUUGAAAAAUUAGCGGAUGACUUGUGGCUGGGGGUGAAAGGCCAAUCAAACCGGGAGAUAGCUGGUUCUCCCCGAAAGCUAUUUAGGUAGCGCCUCGUGAAUUCAUCUCCGGGGGUAGAGCACUGUUUCGGCAAGGGGGUCAUCCCGACUUACCAACCCGAUGCAAACUGCGAAUACCGGAGAAUGUUAUCACGGGAGACACACGGCGGGUGCUAACGUCCGUCGUGAAGAGGGAAACAACCCAGACCGCCAGCUAAGGUCCCAAAGUCAUGGUUAAGUGGGAAACGAUGUGGGAAGGCCCAGACAGCCAGGAUGUUGGCUUAGAAGCAGCCAUCAUUUAAAGAAAGCGUAAUAGCUCACUGGUCGAGUCGGCCUGCGCGGAAGAUGUAACGGGGCUAAACCAUGCACCGAAGCUGCGGCAGCGACACUAUGUGUUGUUGGGUAGGGGAGCGUUCUGUAAGCCUGUGAAGGUGUACUGUGAGGUAUGCUGGAGGUAUCAGAAGUGCGAAUGCUGACAUAAGUAACGAUAAAGCGGGUGAAAAGCCCGCUCGCCGGAAGACCAAGGGUUCCUGUCCAACGUUAAUCGGGGCAGGGUGAGUCGACCCCUAAGGCGAGGCCGAAAGGCGUAGUCGAUGGGAAACAGGUUAAUAUUCCUGUACUUGGUGUUACUGCGAAGGGGGGACGGAGAAGGCUAUGUUGGCCGGGCGACGGUUGUCCCGGUUUAAGCGUGUAGGCUGGUUUUCCAGGCAAAUCCGGAAAAUCAAGGCUGAGGCGUGAUGACGAGGCACUACGGUGCUGAAGCAACAAAUGCCCUGCUUCCAGGAAAAGCCUCUAAGCAUCAGGUAACAUCAAAUCGUACCCCAAACCGACACAGGUGGUCAGGUAGAGAAUACCAAGGCGCUUGAGAGAACUCGGGUGAAGGAACUAGGCAAAAUGGUGCCGUAACUUCGGGAGAAGGCACGCUGAUAUGUAGGUGAAGNNNNNNNNNNNNNNNNNNNNNNNNNNNNNNNNNNNNNNNNNNNNNNNNNNNNNNNNNNNNNNNNNNNNNNNNNNNNNNNNNNNNNNNNNNNNNNNNNNGCGAAGCUCUUGAUCGAAGCCCCGGUAAACGGCGGCCGUAACUAUAACGGUCCUAAGGUAGCGAAAUUCCUUGUCGGGUAAGUUCCGACCUGCACGAAUGGCGUAAUGAUGGCCAGGCUGUCUCCACCCGAGACUCAGUGAAAUUGAACUCGCUGUGAAGAUGCAGUGUACCCGCGGCAAGACGGAAAGACCCCGUGAACCUUUACUAUAGCUUGACACUGAACAUUGAGCCUUGAUGUGUAGGAUAGGUGGGAGGCUUUGAAGUGUGGACGCCAGUCUGCAUGGAGCCGACCUUGAAAUACCACCCUUUAAUGUUUGAUGUUCUAACGUUGGCCCGUUAUCCGGGUUGCGGACAGUGUCUGGUGGGUAGUUUGACUGGGGCGGUCUCCUCCUAAAGAGUAACGGAGGAGCACGAAGGUUGGCUAAUCCUGGUCGGACAUCAGGAGGUUAGUGCAAUGGCAUAAGCCAGCUUGACUGCGAGCGUGACGGCGCGAGCAGGUGCGAAAGCAGGUCAUAGUGAUCCGGUGGUUCUGAAUGGAAGGGCCAUCGCUCAACGGAUAAAAGGUACUCCGGGGAUAACAGGCUGAUACCGCCCAAGAGUUCAUAUCGACGGCGGUGUUUGGCACCUCGAUGUCGGCUCAUCACAUCCUGGGGCUGAAGUAGGUCCCAAGGGUAUGGCUGUUCGCCAUUUAAAGUGGUACGCGAGCUGGGUUUAGAACGUCGUGAGACAGUUCGGUCCCUAUCUGCCGUGGGCGCUGGAGAACUGAGGGGGGCUGCUCCUAGUACGAGAGGACCGGAGUGGACGCAUCACUGGUGUUCGGGUUGUCAUGCCAAUGGCACUGCCCGGUAGCUAAAUGCGGAAGAGAUAAGUGCUGAAAGCAUCUAAGCACGAAACUUGCCCCGAGAUGAGUUCUCCCUGACUCC